Molecule: long non-coding RNA, 209 nt
Filed under: Elaeis guineensis (African oil palm)
Lineage: Eukaryota; Viridiplantae; Streptophyta; Magnoliopsida; Arecales; Arecaceae
Description: long non-coding RNA (EGUI_LNC051773)
Source: RNAcentral
CAUGCCUCCUCUUAUCAUUUCUCCUUUUCAUGCCCAAAAGUUUGGUGCUUUCUCUUCCACACAUCUAGAAGAGGCUCUGGUGACUUAGAGAUCAAGGAUCAAGGAGAAAAAGAAGAAGGCUGCAGAUCAAGGAGUUGAUCUCGUAGUUAAGAUCAAAGGAGUUGAUCAAAAUCUUCAAGGCCAAGGUUCUUCUUGAGAAGAAGAAUCUC